This is a non-coding RNA of Podarcis muralis (Common wall lizard), 4981 nucleotides long. The record is from RefSeq and is a predicted model, not a curated record. NCBI's taxonomy places the organism in Eukaryota, Metazoa, Chordata, Lepidosauria, Squamata, Lacertidae.
GUGCUUCAGGUUAAAAACAGUUUCAGGUUAAGAGCGAGCCUCCGGAACGAAUUAAGUACUUAACCCGAGGUACCACUGUACUGCAGUCCCAGGAGAAGCCCACAACAGGCAAACUUCCUUUCCUGCCCAACUGUUCCUUGUCCUCUUUUGUCAGGAUCAUUGCAUGUGGAUACAUAAAAAGCAGCAUUUUCUUUAAAAUGAAAAAAGCAGCUUGAGAGGGGCCAGUUUAGGAAAAAGCAUCAGUGUGAGGGCUGUUUUAGCCUUUCUCUGCCUGCCACUUCUCCAUUCCUAUCUACCCCCAACUGUUUCUCCCUCUCUGCGGUGCUGAACCCAUUUUGUGAGGGUAGAGUGUGGAAGGGAAAUAGCUUGAGAGGGAGGAAUCUCUUAGUGGAGAAGCAGGGCGUGGAGGGGGGGGGGCUUUCCCUGCUCAUUCUCUACUUAAACCACCCUCUUCCAACAGUGUUCUUUUAAAAUAAGUAGUAGAUUACAACUUUUACUUUCAUGCAUCUGCUUGCAAUGUUGAUGUGCCUGCUAUUCCAGAGAUCAGCAAGGUUUACCUCACCUGGGCCGGUUCACUCCCGCAGAGAUCGCUCCGUGGGCCGGAUGACGCAUCUGCACAUGCACAGACGUGAUUUCCAGCAUCGCAGAAGUGAGUCCCUACUCCGCACUGCGCCAGUUUAGCGCAGCGUGCGGGAGACCCGACAAGCGUGUGGCUCAGUUCGGAGGUGGCUCGUGGGCUGUUUAAAUGACCCCCGUGGGCCGCUUGUGGCCCAUGGGCCGCAGGUUGCCGCCCCCUGUGCUGUUCUGUGAGGUUUGGUCUCAUUUGCACUUUCUCCUCCAGCUCCAGCAGUCAUUGUUUCUUCAGAACUCUGCUAUGCACCCUGUUCCCCCCUCCCAUAGGAUAAAUGUAUGUGCCAGCUAAGUGUAAACUUGGAGAUUGCAACUUGAAAUGUUGUCUGUGGUAUGGUGCAAUGCAGCUUAUCAUGUUCUUCAAAGUUCCUUCUCUCACUGGUGCCUUCUUCGCCUGUUUCUCUGUGCUAUGCUUUUCCUCAAGUCUCACUUCCCAGCUGUUUUCCCAGGUUCCUCUUUUUUCCUUCCAAUGCCUUGCUGCAUGCUUCCACCAGCCACCUUGCCUCUGGUCUCUCCACCCCUUCGUUUUACUAUCUCCUAUGAUUUCUUUCUAGUCCUCAACCGUCCCCAAAAAGCUCUGCCUCUCCCUAGGGCCUAUGUGGUGUUUUAAUCUGAGCCAAAAUGAGAAAGUUCCUUUUCAGCCUAGAAGUUGAACUGAAAAUAUUCUGGCAACGGUCCUCACUCAGCCGUUUGAUAAUAAUCUGUCAGAAGUGCAAUACAAUAUAGUGAGUACCCCCCCUUUAAUUUUUUAAAAAAUAUAGGCAUAGUUUCUAUUGGCAUAUCACUGUCUUUUUUCAGUGCACCAAUGCGCUUGAGUUGGGUUAUCAUUAAAAUGACUGGGGAUGUGACAAUUGCUGAACACAUUCUGGAGGUGCUAUCAUUACUGCGGUGUUAACAUUGUAAUCUUCUCAGAUAUUUAAUUACUUUCCCAAAGGCAUCUAUAAAUUAAGUUCCUAAGCAGCGUGCCAUCUGAGACAUUAAAAUAUAACUUUUAAUUUGGAAAGGUUGCUGAAAAAUAAUUCAUUCUUGUGGUUGGAUUUCUUAUUUUAGUCUGUUACCCCAGCCUGUCAAAAACCAACCUCUCUUUAUCUUUAAUCUGUAUUAGCCAUUGAGGUGUGAAUUGGAAGAAACGCGCCACUUACUCAGGCUGAUAUAUAUUUUGUGUCUACGAGCACAAUAUUUCAAAAUAAUGCAUAGGUAGUUUUUAGCAGCGGUUACAGGUGUAAAAGCUCAGUUGCAAAUGGCAUAUGCUAGUUUUGUUUCACUGCACUAAUGCUUUGAGAAGAAGCUAUGUUUUCAUGAAGUCUGUCGUUAAGACAGGUUUUGUAGUGUAGAGGUUCACAAACUCUUGGGGUGUUGUUUCUUUGAGGUAUAGGAUGUAUUUGAGCUUCACACAGAACACUGCUAAUGCACAAAGGUUGAAAAUAAUGCACCUUUCUUUGACAGAUCAGAGGUUAGUUUGGAUCUCAUAAUCUGCCUGUUCUAUCUGGGGAUAUACUCACAGCUUUGUAGUACAGCAGCUGUUCUGCCUUUUGGGCAGUCGGUUCUUGGAUUUGCAGAUUCAGGAAAUCCCGUCCACUGAGAGCAUUCUGCUCUGUUUUCAUAAUGUUACUUCAAAGCCUUGUUCUCAGAUGGUUAAGUAACAAGAUGACAUAUCAUGACGACUACUUUUUGCACAGCUGAGUAGUCAAGUUUGGAUUUGUAUCUGGGUGUGUGUAUGUUAUUAACAAAGAAUGUGGGCUUUAGAAUCAUGUGACUCUGAAGCAUCUUCUUUGGAAAGAUUUAUUUUGCUAAGCUAAUAAGAUACCAAAGGACCAUAUUUAAGCAAAUUUAUUACAAUGUGGGAGACAGGGCCAGAUGGGAUGGAAAGAAAGGAAUCAAGUGCCUGUGAUGAAAUAUAAUAGCUUUUUAGUGUAAGUGAGAGAUGAGUAGUAACAACAGCAAUAACUGCGGAUGACAGCAAAGUCAUGGCCUCUGGGGAAAGUGGUUUCCUAGUAGUAUUCGACUUGGUGCUCAUUUGGCUGAGAAUAUUUUUGAACUUCUUAGGACAAACCAAAGCUGCAUUUCUGUUCUGCAUCUUCAGCUACCUGAGAACUCUUGCAAACACCCAAAGGAGAAAUACUGACUCUUCCUAAUGAACUUUUCGUGUGUGGCUGAAGAAAGACAGUGGUCAGUAUUGGCCUAACACAUACCACCCACUGCCUUGUGCGUUAACCCAGAAACAAGAAAGCUGUCUGUCGGUCUAGAUGAUGUACAAUCUCAAAAGCCACCAAGGAAGGGCCAUGAGGAAAUGGUACUCUCAAGGCAAAGAUACUGAAAUCUCCUGCACCAAAUCCCCAAUUUGGAAUGAAGUAUAAAAACGAAGAAUGUGCCGGGGUAACUUUUGUUGCUGAGGACGACUGCGUAGGCUGAAUCCUGAUGUUCACAGUCCCAUUUGCUGUGUGCACUCACUGUGGGAGUUGUGUAGCCCAGCAAGAUGUGGCACCCAUUGUGCACAACUUCCAGAGGUGUCUAAGGGCUCAUGUGUGUGGCAUUCUUAAUUCUGUGUGAAUGAGACAACUCUUCUCUUCUUCUCCCUCACCGUGCUGCACACAUUUUUGAAAUCUUUCUUGAUGUACCACCCAAGCAUGGGAUUCUUCUUCGAGCCCCCCAACACGUGGCAAACUUGAAUAAAGCUAGCUAUCCCCUUUCUUGACAGCAGUGUCGGGUCAUGUUCCUUAUACCACAAUCCCAAGCAUGCUCACUAGGAACUAAUUUCCACUGGGGUCAGAAAAAAAUUACUCCCAAGUAGAGCUAUUUUGGAGGCUCAGGUCCACAGGUGCCCUUUCAUGAGCAGAAGGCCUCUUUCUGACUUGCAUGAGAAAAGACAAAAAGGACAGUGUGUCUAUAUAUAUAUAUGUAUUUAUUUACAUAGUAUGUUUUGUCUGUAUAAUUCUAAGCACCAUACCAUGGGUUCCCUGGUGGUCUCCCAUCUGGGCACCUCAGCAGACCUGCCAAGUGUCCCUCUUUUCAAGAGACAGCCCCCGAUUUACAGAAGCCAUUGUGACACCUUCCUCUGCUGGCUCACUGGUCACCAGAGUGCUAAAAGACCUGGUGGGCUCCUAUGGUUGGAUCAUUUCGUCUGUGUGAGAGAAAGAAGAUGGAAAUGUAAGUAGGAUUUGACUCAGCAUCUGAAUUCUGUGAUGAUAGUGAAUUCCUCUUGAGCGUAGAUGUGUGAAUGCCAAGACCAGUUUAGGGACAGGAGAGUACUGUGAGCCACAUUUCUCACAUUUUCUCUUUCUUUUCUAGGCUUUCAAGGCUGAGGAAAGUGUUAUCCCGGUUGGGAAGGCUCUGCAUACCUCCUGCCAGAAGAGGAUGGCCCAGGAAAAAAUGACGAUGACAUAACCCUUGAAGACCUGGAGGGAGAGCAGGGACCCAUUUUCUGUGAGCAGCAGGACAGCUCUUGAAGAAGAUGACAGAAGAGCUCCUCCAUCAGAGGAGCUCAAGAAAUGCCCAGGAAAACAUGAAGACAAUGUCUAUUUCCAAGGAUAUGUUCAGUGUAUAUAAGAAAGUCUCUAAAACACCUAGUCAAAGUCUUCCCUGCUAGGUUGAGAAACGCUGUGUUUCCAUUUUGCUAAUUAUUUCUAAACUUGCAUGUGUGUAUUGAAACUAGCAUAUGCAAAUCUGUCCCCCCAUUUGGCCACCCUGAUAUCCUCUCUUCUUUCUCUUCCAAUAAAAAAUUCAGAAACAAUUAGCCUAAGCCAAAGAAUGGCAGUAGGGAUGAUAAUUUAGGUAAACCACUUUCCUCUCAUGUGAUCCUUCAUAGUAAAGGUUCGGGGUGAGGGGCCUUGGAACUUGCGGAAGGGCUGUACCUUGGUGGUAGGCGGUCUGAUUGACAUACAGAAAGUGGACUGAUGGAGAAGGGAUAGAGCAGUUGCCCCUUCUCAAGUGGGCUGCAAGAGGAAGGAUGCUCCCUCCAACCAGCAUAGAAACACAGCUCUCCACCUCUCAACUGCCAGCCCCUGACAGGUUAGUAAGACUUUUUGCAGGCUAGUAACUUUUGUGGGUUGUUUUAUGAAAAAUCCUCUCAAUUUCCUUUCAUUAGAGGAUUUUUCAUAAAGAAAAUGCCCAUCAAAGGAAAAUGAAAGAAAGGGGGAAAAUGGAAAUCUGGGAAGAAAUACAAAGAAAUGAAAAUGAAUUACUUAAUAAACCAGACAAUGAAAACAUUAAACAGAAUAUAAAAAUCCCUUAAACACAAUUCUCGAUGGUAAUAAAUGAAGAGCUGGAAUGGAAGAUCAAAUGGCUAAAAUAUAAACAUUUUUAAUUCAGAAAUAAGCCGGGCAAACUCUUGGCCUGGCAACUAAAGAAAAAA